CCUACGGGCGGCACCAGUGGGGAAUAUUGGACAAUGGGCGAAAGCCUGAUCCAGCCAUGCCGCGUGAGUGAUGACGGCCUUAGGGUUGUAAAGCUCUUUCGGCGGGGAAGAUAAUGACGGUACCCGCAGAAGAAGCCCCGGCUAACUUCGUGCCAGCAGCCGCGGUAAAACGAAGGGGGCUAGCGUUGUUCGGAAUCACUGGGCGUAUAGCGCACGUAGGCGGAUCGUUAAGUCGGGGGUGAAAUCCCUCGGCUUAACCGAGGAACUGCGUCCGAUACUGCGUGGCUCGAGUCCCGGAGAGGGUAGCGGAAUUCCCAGUGUAGCGGUGAAAUGCGUAGAUAUUGGGAGGAACACCAGUGGCGAAGGCGGCUACCUGGACGGGUACUGACGCUGAGGCGCGAAAGCUAGGGGAGCAAACAGGAUUAGAUACCCUAGUAGUC
This 440-nucleotide ribosomal RNA is filed under the name uncultured bacterium. Its description in RNAcentral is "bacterial SSU rRNA". It matches the Rfam family "Bacterial small subunit ribosomal RNA", at positions 338 to 795 of the family's 1533-position model. The record is from RNAcentral.